CCUCACGCGCAGGGCCAGGCCUGAGGCUGGCCUCCUUCAGGGUACGUGACUGCAUGGGCUUCGCGUGUGAUGCGUCUCAUCCGUCCUGCAAGAGCUUCCUGUUGGGCGCGCUGACUUCGGGAGGGAGGCGGAGCUUGCACUGGGGCGCUGGUCAUGAAGCAUUUGCUCGGUGUGUGACGAAUGGCCCGGGUUCCGUCUGUUGCCCAUGCCCAACGCCACUGAGUCGCAGGGGUCUCCACAGGGCCCCCCACUGGCCCGCACCUGCCACUCUGCAGGGCGUCCCGCCGAAGGCUGACCCUGUGCAUGGCUGCGCCUGCAGGUGUGUCCUCGCCGCUUCCGCUCCCAUCCCAAUGCCCCCAGACCCAGAGGGAUGACCCCCUUCGGGGAAGAGCCCGAGGGCCUGCCUGCUGUGCGCGCUGAUCUUCCUGGUGCUUGAGGAGAGGUUGCCCGUGGCCCGUUCGCAUUCUUCAUGACGCACAAUACACGGUCGGCCUCUCUUCAGUAUCACAUCCCGCCUUGCAUGCCUCCUGCAAGCUCGCCAGUGUCCGGUGCCCAGCGGCCAGCGACCAGCGUCCACGAAGGCGGAGCACGCGCCGACUCAUCCGGGGCCAUGGGGCGGGCCGUGGGCGGGGCCGUCUGAGGAAGGAGCCUCCGUGUGCAGUCAGCCCUGCUCAGUGGUACCUGGCAUAGGUUGUCUGUGAGGUGUUCACUUUCUAUACGAUGAAUAUUAUACAGUCAACCUCUUCCCGGUAUCAAAUCCCGCCUUGGACGACUUCUGCUCUGGUGCAGACUCCGGGCGGCAGAAGCCUCCACGCGGGUUGACCCGUGGACUUGGUUUAGGACCUGUGCCGCUGGCCUCUUCAUUUUCCAGCUGCAUCCGUUCUGGAGGGUUCCCGAGAGCAGCGCGGAGCGGACUCCGUGGUUCCCGCGGUCCCAGACGGCCCUGCUGGGCCCAGGUGCUGGGCUAGGUUUACCUGCUGACUCUUAUUUCCCGCUGGCACCCUCACCCCCACCCCAGCCCUGCCGAGACCCAGGCACGGCAGGAUCGCCCAGGGCAGGGGAAGGGUCCAGGGCCCCUGGAAAGGUGAACUCGAAGAGCACCUCCAGAGGAUGACCUAGGGCUGUUUGGUAUUUGCUAAUUGCCCUCUGGGCUCCAGGAAGCCAUUUCUGAGCCUGGCUUGCAUCAUCCCCACUGGCAAGAGAUAACUUCCUUGCCUUGGAAAUCUCAGCUCUGGGCAUGCCUUUCCCCAUGGGCUGCUCCUCGGGCCGUGGCCUCUCUGUGCCCAGCACGUAGCGAGGGGUCGCCCCAGCUCCAGGAAGAUCAGCAGUGACCUUGCCAGUGGGGCGUCAGGCCUUCAAGCUCUACAGAUGCGCCUCCUUCUGCUGGGGUGCCCACCCCUCCUCUCCAGCCCCUCAGCCAUAGCCCUGCAGGAGAGAUCGCCCUUUCUGGCCUGGACCGCUACCCAGGCCCCCCAUCUGCGUCUCCUUCCCGUCCCCCUCCUCCUUCUGCCAGGGAGAACCUUCCAGAGUGCAGUCUGGCUCUCUCUGCCCUGCCCAGAGCCCCUCCGUGGCACCCCUGCCCUCAUGCUCGGCUCUAAAACAGUAACUAGUGUCUCAAGGCCCCCAGACUGGCCAACCUCACCCCCUGCCCCUCCCUGCCUAUGACACUUUACGGUGUAUGCCCAUUUUUACGUCCAUCCGUCCUCCUGCCGGGAGCUGAGUCCCUGGUGGCCGCCUCUGUGCAGCCUGCCCUGACGCCCUUCCCCCCAUCCGGGGUGCAGGCCUCCCUUAGCCCCCCAUGCCCUGUAUGUUCUUUCCUGGGACACUGCAGAAUCUCUUGCUCUUUGCUUCACCCCGCCCCCACCAAGAGUUGCCCCCUUUCUAGAGCAGGGGUUUGGGAUUCUGGAGGUGUUGAAAUGUCCCUUGCUCAGCAAGGCUGUCCCUGAUCACCCAGCCUAGCUCCCACCUCUUCCCAGCAACCUUCUCUCAUCACCUUGUUACCAUUGUCUUCCUAGCUUAUCCAAAAUUACCUGAUGUUAAUAUUUUCUUUCUCUCUCUCCUCUAGACUGUAAAAUUUCUCAGGGCAGGAAAUUUUUCUGUCAUGUUGCCUGCUGUGCCUCCAGCCCUGGGAUCCAGGCCAGGCCCACAAUAGCAGAAUGCAGCCAGGAGGAAAGUCACCACAGACCCUGGAGCCAGAGGAUCGGUGACUCGGGGCCAUUGCCCAGGCGCCGUAAGUAAGCCAGCCGAAGGUUCCAGCUCAGGGGUGCUCGCUGAGUUCCGGUGCCUGUGUGGGCAAGGGCCCCAUGGCCCCAGAUUCUCUUUGCAUGAUGAGGUAGGCUUACUUUUCCCAACACACAGCUUGCCAUCCUUUUCGUGGUUUUCCCCUGCACCCACCUGGCACCUCCAGUUUGGUGCCGUUCCUCCUGGAAUGGAGUGUUUUCAGUUGGGUGCAGUGCCCACGGCCCUUGGCCCGGAGAGUGGGCCGCUUGCUCCAGAAGAAGACCCAAAGCACAGUGGGAGUCUAAAUACCAAAGACCACGUUGAGUGUCUUCGAGCGCGUUUGACGGCUGUAUCCACCCCUCGGGCGAGUACAGAUCAAGUCAGGACAGUUGGUAGGCAAGAAUGAGUGCUCAGACCAGCCCGGUGAGCUCUGCAGGGUGGACUCGGCACCCCUCCCCUCCCCCAGGCUCCCUCUCCUCUCUGCUCUGCCCCACGCUUGCUUGUACCACCCUGCACAGAGUCAGCGGCUGGUGCAGCUCUGGGGACCCAUGGAGCUCACAGUCCUCAUGGGUCCUUGAGGAUGCAAAGACCCCCCCAAAUGCCAGGGCUGAGUGAGACCCUUGAGUUUAUUCCCCUCCUCUUCCGUCCCUCUACUCGCAUCCUCAUACACGUAAGAAAACUGACAUCCAGGGCGGUAGAAUGCUUGGCUGUGACUGUUUUUCCUAAGGGUGGUCUUAAGCUUUGGGGUCUAGACCACCUCUGGCAAAUAAGCAGUUUCCCUCUUGGUAACGACAGGGGUGACCCAGCACCCCAGGGCUACGGGAACGCCAAGCGGGACUCAAUACCUCAUUUCUCAGGGGCUUGCUGGGGGUGACGCUGCUGCCCUGCUCCAGAGCUUCUAGAAGCCAGCGCCUUCGCUCUGCAGUGCCAGCUCAUAGUAGGUGCUCAGCUAACGCCUGGAUCAAAGCUGGGCUCAGACACCAGCGCAAAGUAAGUAUCCGACCUGGGAGUGUAUUGAAUCAGGUCUUUAUUGCCGGGAGGAAGCACACAGGAGGCACUGGGAGGACAUUUGUGGAAUGAAUAAAUAAAAGCAUGCUCUUUGAGGGAAUAAAGGAGCAGAGAAACCAGGAAGAACCUGGGGGAGACAGACAUAAAUCUCCAGCAAGCACCGCCAAGCUUCUGCAGUCAAGGUUGCUGAAAAGACCCUGCGGAGACAGAGGGGCCAUUUGUCACUGCGGGGACGGGCUUGAGGGCCAGGAAGCAAGGGCAGGAUGGAACCUUGUUCAUCACUUCCGCAUUAUCCCGGCGGCAAUGGAGGGGAGCCCACGGCCAUGCCGCCUGCCUGGCGGAAUGAGUGCCGGGCUAGGGGUGGGGAAGGACCCCGAGGAAGGGCAGGCUGGGCUGGAGGAGGAGGCAGCCAUCUCAGAGCCCACCUCAUGCCCUUGGCGCUGCAGUUGUUGUUUUCAUACCUAUGAGUCCCUAUCCAGGGCUCCGCUCCAGUGCCACUUCCUACAGGAAGCCCUCCCUGAUCCACCCCUCCACACAGAACCUCAAUCUGCAGUCAGAUGUCAGUCCUCUGAUCCUUUGAUCAAUAGGUAUCUCCUGGCCCAGCCUGCACGCUCCAUGGGGACAGGGGCUGUUUCUGGUGUGGUGGCUGUGAGGCCCCUGUGCUUGGUUCGGCCCGGGGAAGGCACUGCAUGAUGCUGGUUAGCCCUGUCUUGCCUUUGCAGGCACUCUGGACCUGGCACUCGACAGGUGCCCAGUGCAUGGACAUCCCAUGGGCGGAGCCUUGGGUUGACCCCAACCAGGAGCCAAGGGCUGGGCCAGAGGUGGCUGCAAGGACCGCUUCUGCCUAGAGAGAUGUGACUGUGAGCUUGGGAUCCUGGCCCAACCCUGGAGGCAUUCCUUGGAUCUGUGGCCAGCUUGCUUUCUCUGAACCCAUCUUGGAGUCUCAGCCCUUUCCUCUCCUGAUCCCAUCUCCUGCUUCACACGACUGCACCAUGGUCCCUGGUGGUGAUCGAGGCAGAGGGCACCCACGCCCCAGGAGACAGAUGCACAGCGCCCUCCCUGCCUCACCCAGGAAGCUGGGGGAGGCCCCUGCACCCCCUAGCGUUUGAAGCACCCGGACUUGAGUACCGGGGGACCAUCCCGCGGCGGGAAGGACCGGCCUUCACGUGGACCGUGGGGAGGACCGAGGACCGUAUGGGCUCAUGGAGAUGCCAAGGUCCAUGCCCUGCCCCACCAGACAGCGGGGCUGGGAGGUGAAAACGCUGGUUAGAAGGACGUAAGAAUUCCUGCUCUUCCCUCUGAAGCACUUUGAAUCUUGUCAGACCAUUUGAGUAAUAAACACACAUCAU
This is a long non-coding RNA of Globicephala melas (long-finned pilot whale), 4577 nucleotides long. RefSeq lists it as uncharacterized. NCBI's taxonomy places the organism in Eukaryota, Metazoa, Chordata, Mammalia, Artiodactyla, Delphinidae. The record is from RefSeq and is a predicted model, not a curated record.